AUUGAACGCUGGCGGCAGGCCUAACACAUGCAAGUCGAACGGUAACAGGGAUCAGCUUGCUGAUUCGCUGACGAGUGGCGGACGGGUGAGUAAUGUCUGGGAAACUGCCUGAUGGAGGGGGAUAACUACUGGAAACGGUGGCUAAUACCGCAUAACGUCGCAAGACCAAAGAGGGGGACCUUCGGGCCUCUUGCCAUCGGAUGUGCCCAGAUGGGAUUAGCUAGUAGGUGGGGUAACGGCUCACCUAGGCGACGAUCCCUAGCUGGUCUGAGAGGAUGACCAGCCACACUGGAACUGAGACACGGUCCAGACUCCUACGGGAGGCAGCAGUGGGGAAUAUUGCACAAUGGGCGCAAGCCUGAUGCAGCCAUGCCGCGUGUAUGAAGAAGGCCUUCGGGUUGUAAAGUACUUUCAGCGGGGAGGAAGGGAGUAAGGUUAAUACCUUUGCUCAUUGACGUUACCCGCAGAAGAAGCACCGGCUAACUCCGUG
Molecule: ribosomal RNA, 490 nt
Filed under: uncultured bacterium
Lineage: Bacteria
Description: partial 16S ribosomal RNA
Rfam family: Bacterial small subunit ribosomal RNA
Source: RNAcentral